AGCCGUGUGGUGAGUGCAUAGCGAACUCUUCUUUCGCCUUUUACUAAAGAACACCGUGCGCUCGCCGCCUAAAGCGGCAUACGCCUAUUUUUGUAGGGCCUUUCUUUUGAAAACGGU
Hibiscus syriacus is the source of this 117-nucleotide small nuclear RNA. RefSeq annotates it as U5 spliceosomal RNA. The transcript has a single exon. The record is from RefSeq and is a predicted model, not a curated record. Lineage: Eukaryota; Viridiplantae; Streptophyta; Magnoliopsida; Malvales; Malvaceae.